This 103-nucleotide Y RNA is filed under the name Rhinopithecus bieti (black snub-nosed monkey). RNAcentral describes it as "Y RNA (ENSRBIG00000014042.1)". It matches the Rfam family "Y RNA". Rfam says of the family: Y RNAs are components of the Ro ribonucleoprotein particle (Ro RNP), in association with Ro60 and La proteins. The Y RNAs and Ro60 and La proteins are well conserved, but the function of the Ro RNP is not known. Lineage: Eukaryota; Metazoa; Chordata; Mammalia; Primates; Cercopithecidae. The record is from Rfam by way of RNAcentral.
GGCUGGUCCAAAGGUAGUGAGUUAUCUCAAUUGAUUGUUCACAGUUACAGAUUUAACUUUUGUUCUACCUUUCCCCCCUUCUCACUACUGCACUUGUCUUAAA